CUGCCUCUGAGUAGCCUCAUUUAAAAAGAAGCUUUGGUACACUUUGGCAGUGCCACCCACUGCUGCAGGUUCUUUACGGCUGCAGUUGGCAUGCUUGUGAAAAUCUAAGCGACACAAGACUCUGCAAGCAUCAGUUCCUUAGAAAAAGUUGAUCUACGGAAUCUGGAAAGAAUAACCGCCAUCAAACUCUGCCACAGGCUUAUUGGUAAAUCAUAUAGGUGUUGCGUACGAGCGGUUCUCCAAUUCUAAGUUGAAAAAUUGCAAGGGAACCCUCUACGCCUAUCUACGGUGAAAGUUCUGCAAAGUUUUGACAGUUGUGGUAAACAAUCCUGACUCAAUAACUACUAGUGCAAUCAUUUCACUUUUUGCAACCACAGAAAUCGCAUAUACAUGCCCGUGGUAAUGUUAAGCCAUAUUUUCUACGGGACUCUUCUAUGCUUGCCGACAAUGCUCAGUGUCGUAAAUGGUUCAUUUUGUGAAGAACAAGGGAAGCAGGUUCCCUGCAGUAAAGG
Molecule: long non-coding RNA, 512 nt
Organism: Rhipicephalus sanguineus (brown dog tick)
Lineage: Eukaryota; Metazoa; Arthropoda; Arachnida; Ixodida; Ixodidae
Exons: 5
Source: RefSeq, a predicted model, not a curated record